This 427-nucleotide ribosomal RNA is filed under the name uncultured bacterium. RNAcentral describes it as "partial 16S ribosomal RNA". It matches the Rfam family "Bacterial small subunit ribosomal RNA", at positions 355 to 774 of the family's 1533-position model. The record is from RNAcentral.
UGGGGAAUAUUGCACAAUGGGCGCAAGCCUGAUGCAGCCAUGCCGCGUGUAUGAAGAAGGCCUUCGGGUUGUAAAGUACUCUCAGCGGGGAGGAAGGCGAUGCGGUUAAUAACCGCGUCGAUUGACGUUACCCGCAGAAGAAGCACCGGCUAACUCCGUGCCAGCAGCCGCGGUAAUACGGAGGGUGCAAGCGUUAAUCGGAAUUACUGGGCGUAAAGCGCACGCAGGCGGUCUGUCAAGUCGGAUGUGAAAUCCCCGGGCUCAACCUGGGAACUGCAUCCGAAACUGGCAGGCUUGAGUCUCGUAGAGGGGGGUAGAAUUCCAGGUGUAGCGGUGAAAUGCGUAGAGAUCUGGAGGAAUACCGGUGGCGAAGGCGGCCUCCUGGACGAAGACUGACGCUCAGGUGCGAAAGCGUGGGGAGCAAACA